Molecule: long non-coding RNA, 655 nt
Filed under: Pan troglodytes (chimpanzee)
Lineage: Eukaryota; Metazoa; Chordata; Mammalia; Primates; Hominidae
Description: long non-coding RNA NONPTRT000038
Source: RNAcentral
UGACCUCUGUCUAACCCGCACAAUCAACCCAGCUGAUGACCUCUAUCUAACCCGCACAAUCAACCCGGCUGAUGACCUCUAUCUAACCCACACAAUCAACCCAGCUGAUGACCUCUAUCUAACCCACAGAAUCAACCCGGCUGAUGACCUCUAUCUAACCCACACAAUCAACCCGGCUGAUGACCUCUAUCUAACCCACACAAUCAACCCUGCUGAUGACCUCUAUCUAACCCACACAAUCAACCCGGCUGAUGAUCUCUAUCUAACCCACACAAUCAACCCGGCUGAUGAUCUCUAUCUAACCCACACAAUCAACCCGGCUGAUGACCUCUAUCUAACCCACACAAUCAACCCGGCUGAUGAUCUCUAUCUAACCCACACAAUCAACCCGGCUGAUGAUCUCUAUCUAACCCGCACAAUCAACCCGGCUGAUGAUCUCUAUCUAACCCGCACAAUCAACCCGGCUGAUGAUCUCUAUCUAACCCACACAAUCAACCCGGCUGAUGAUCUCUAUCUAACCCACACAAUCAACCCGGCUGAUGAUCUCUAUCUAACCCGCACAAUCAACCCGGCUGACGACCUCUAUCUAACCCGCACAAUCAACCAAGCUGAUGAUCUCUAUCUAACCCACACAAUCAACCUGGCUGAUGACCUC